This 1292-nucleotide long non-coding RNA is filed under the name Capsicum annuum. RNAcentral's name for it is "long non-coding RNA (CANN_LNC000832)". The record is from RNAcentral. Lineage: Eukaryota; Viridiplantae; Streptophyta; Magnoliopsida; Solanales; Solanaceae.
UCCUGAUAAUGAACUUGUCAACAUUCCGUCCGUUUCCUCUUCUUUCUAUCCGUUGUUCUUUCUUUCCUUCUCAUAUUUAAUUUCCUCUCCUUUAGAUCCCUUAUUGUAUAAAAUUUCAGUUAUUGUUCUUAGUUGAAAGGAUUUUGAACAUCACUACAUAAACAAACACAUCAUGCAUUCACCAUUUGGCUUUUCAUUAUAAACCUUAUUCAAACAUUGCACAUCAUUUGUAAUUUUAGAGCAUCGUCAAUACUACUACGAUCUUCGGAUUAUACCAUAUUACAUCAAUAACUUCUCCUUCACUUUUUAAGUUACCAAAGCCUGUCACAUGACAUAAGAGAAGGAGACAACAGGAUUUCGCUUUGGGGUUUAAAUUAUUUUAUCAAGGAAUGAAGUCAGAAGAAGAAAGGAAGCAAUGAUCAGAAGCUAUGUAGAAAUUUAACCCUGAAGCUACAAUCAAUACGAAUACUUUUGUGUCAUGGACUUUUGUUGUGUAUUUCUUCUUUCCGGUCUCUUUCCUUUUAUCUAUUGAAGCACUUGGAAUUUAUAGGAGAAAAUAAUGACAUUAUUUUUUCUCAAAAUUAUUUAGCGGAACUUUUCAAAAAUUAGUUGUAGAUUAGUUUCUUUCUUUCUUAAAAGGGAAAAUACUCAGAAAAAUACCUGAAAUUUGACUAGAUUUUCAGGUGAGCAUACUUAACUUUGCGGUUGCCCUAUUACCCCUAGACCUUUUUUUUAUAUUUGAAUGACAUAUAUCUGCUCACUUAUAUCACUUAGUCAAUCAACCAAAUGACGGUGAACACAUGCACCGUUUAAAUAAAUUAUUAUUCCAUUUAAUUUUUGUUUUAACUCCUAAUUAUCCACAAAUGUAAUAAAAGAUAAAUAAUUAUUAAACAAAAACGUUACCUUUUCUCUUCUCUAUACUCACACACUUCAGAUAUUUUCAAUGAUCGCUUUCACUCUUCAUCCUCAUUUCUCACUUUGACUACUCUUUACAAAAAAUUUUCUUCCAAGGUCAACAAUAACAACUGUUCUGGUGUUCCUCGGGGUGUGAUUUCGUAUCGAGGAGCUGUGAGAGUGUUGGUAUUGAACAAGUCUUGAAGGUUAGUAUGACGGCGAAACUUAACAAUUGAAACUUUAUGACAAUUUUUUUAGGGUUAUUGUUCAAUAAGUCUGAAGUUUCAUAGUUUAUCAAAAUUAGGGUUUUUUGCCAGUCUAAAUCGUUCUUAUUUUUAUCAAUAAGUUAGGAAUUUUUUGUAAUCUAAAUUGACUCUUCUAGUGUGACUGACUACUGC